RNAcentral lists this ribosomal RNA (253 nucleotides) under uncultured bacterium. RNAcentral describes it as "partial 16S ribosomal RNA". It matches the Rfam family "Bacterial small subunit ribosomal RNA", at positions 524 to 776 of the family's 1533-position model. The record is from RNAcentral.
UACGAAGGGGGCUAGCGUUGCUCGGAAUCACUGGGCGUAAAGGGUGCGUAGGCGGGUCUUUAAGUCAGGGGUGAAAUCCUGGAGCUCAACUCCAGAACUGCCUUUGAUACUGAAGAUCUUGAGUCCGGGAGAGGUGAGUGGAACUGCGAGUGUAGAGGUGAAAUUCGUAGAUAUUCGCAAGAACACCAGUGGCGAAGGCGGCUCACUGGCCCGGUACUGACGCUGAGGAGCGAAAGCGUGGGGAGCGAACAGG